AUGUCUUUUUGUUUAAGGCAGAAACUUGGAGUAUGCACACGUGUGAAUGAGUGGAGAAGGGCUGUCUUUGGUUUCUUUGUGUCUCUUACCAAGGUAAAGAAGACUGUCAAGUUUGGAGAGACUACAUCCAUUCUAGAAGCUGCUUACCUGAGCCACAAACGUUUAUACGGAAGUCUGGCCCUAAGGCUUUUCAAAUCAGCAGAGGCAUGGAAUAUUUGUCACCCACUUUUCUGCAGAUGGGAAGUGAUGCAUAGAGAUGAAAUGAUUUAUUGUUUCACACUCUGUCAGAGCAAGUACUUGUGCUCACCAUUCCUAAGGUCUAGCUCUACAAAGUGGAUGUGCAGAAAUACCAUCAAAAAGAUUGGAUGGAGGUCCUUAAUUUGA
Molecule: long non-coding RNA, 384 nt
Filed under: Anas platyrhynchos platyrhynchos (common mallard)
Lineage: Eukaryota; Metazoa; Chordata; Aves; Anseriformes; Anatidae
Description: lncRNA (ENSAPLG00000025305.1)
Source: RNAcentral